CAUUGCCUGGCUGGAGGGCUGCUGGGAACAACCUGGAGGCUUCAGUAGGAUGUGUCCUGGAGAUCAGAUCCUGCCUCAGUCAUUAUUAUUCAUUAAGGAUAAAACACUGCUUCAAAGGAAGAGUAAAGAACACUACCACCCUGGAGCAGCUGAGACCCUGGUAGUGAGGACACUCUCCAGAGAAGUGGAAGUGUUAUUCCUUUCUCAUCUUCAGUCUUGAUCUUACAAGUCACCUACCCCAUGAAUAGAUCCAGCCUCCUACCUGCUGGUCAGAGCAUCGAGGCCAGACAAAUGAAACUUACCAGACUUUGUUUCAUCAAGCAUUCCCCAUACACAUGUGUAAACUGAGGUUUAUAACCAGGCUAGAAACUUUCUUUAAAUUAAAAUGUUGAUUCUGCAAAA
Molecule: long non-coding RNA, 402 nt
Organism: Alligator sinensis (Chinese alligator)
Lineage: Eukaryota; Metazoa; Chordata; Crocodylia; Alligatoridae
Exons: 4
Source: RefSeq, a predicted model, not a curated record